RNAcentral lists this ribosomal RNA (492 nucleotides) under uncultured bacterium. Its description in RNAcentral is "bacterial SSU rRNA". It matches the Rfam family "Bacterial small subunit ribosomal RNA", at positions 903 to 1397 of the family's 1533-position model. The record is from RNAcentral.
AAAGGAAUAGACGGGGGCCCUCCCCCUCUUUUUCUCCUUUUUUUUCCUUCUCCUCCCCGCGAAGAACCUUACCAGGUCUUGACAUCACCUAGCAAGCCAUGGAAACAUGGCCCUCCUUCGGGACUGGGUGACAGGUGGUGCAUGGUUGUCGUCAGCUCGUGUCGUGAGAUGUUGGGUUAAGUCCCGCAACGAGCGCAACCCUUGCCUUUAGUUGCCAGCAUUAAGUUGGGGACUCUAAAGGGACUGCCGGCGACAAGUCGGAGGAAGGUGGGGAUGACGUCAAAUCAUCAUGCCCCUUAUGAUCUGGGCUACACACGUGCUACAAUGGGUGGUACAGAGGGAAGCGAAGCUGUGAGGCGGAGCGAAUCCCAGAAAGCCACUCUCAGUUCGGAUUGCAGGCUGCAACUCGCCUGCAUGAAGUCGGAAUCGCUAGUAAUCGCGGGUCAGCAUACCGCGGUGAAUACGUUCCCGGGCCUUGUACACACCGCCCGU